GGCGGCCGUAACUAUAACGGUCCUAAGGUAGCGAAAUUCCUUGUCGGGUAAGUUCCGACCUGCACGAAUGGCGUAACGAUGGCCACACUGUCUCCUCCUGAGACUCAGCGAAGUUGAAAUGUUUGUGAAGAUGCAAUCUCCCCGCGGCAAGACGGAAAGACCCCGUGAACCUUUACUGUAGCCUGGCAUUGGAUCUUGGUGCAGCAUGUGUAGGAUAGGUGGGAGGCUGUGAAGCGGGGGCGCAAGCUUUCGUGGAGCCAUCCUUGAAAUACCACCCUUGCUCUACUGUGGUUCUAACCUAGACCUGUGAAACCAGGUCGGGGACAAUGUCAGGUGGGCAGUUUGACUGGGGCGGUCGCCUCCUAAAGUGUAACGGAGGCGCCCUAAGGUUCCCUCAGCACGGUCGGCAAUCGUGCGUUGAGUGCAAAGGCAUAAGGGAGCUUAACUGCGAGACCUACAAGUCAAGCAGGUGCGAAAGCAGGGCUUAGUGAUCCGGUGGUCCCGAGUGGAAGGGCCAUCGCUCAACGGAUAAAAGGUACUCCGGGGAUAACAGGCUUAUCUCCCCCAAGAGUCCACAUCGACGGGGAGGUUUGGCACCUCGAUGUCGGCUCAUCGCAUCCUGGGGCUGAAGCAGGUCCCAAGGGUUGGGCUGUUCGCCCAUUAAAGCGGUACGCGAGCUGGGUUUAGAACGUCGUGAGACAGUUCGGUCCCUAUCUGCUGCGGGCGCAGGAGAUUUGCGGGGAUCUGUCCCUAGUACGAGAGGACCGGGAUGGACGAACCUCUAGUGUGCCAGUUGUUCUGCCAAGGGCAUCGCUGGGUAGCUAUGUUCGGAAGGGAUAAACGCUGAAAGCAUCUAAGUGCGAAGCCCACCCCAAGAUGAGAUCUCCCGGGCGCAAGCUCCUAAAGACCCCUUGUAGAUCACAAGGUUGAUAGGCCAGAUGUGUAAGCGCAGGAAUGCGUUCAGCUUACUGGUACUAAUAGGUCGUGAGGCUUGACCCC
This 999-nucleotide ribosomal RNA is filed under the name bacterium UW 659-2-F09. RNAcentral's name for it is "bacterial LSU rRNA". It matches the Rfam family "Bacterial large subunit ribosomal RNA", at positions 1929 to 2925 of the family's 2925-position model. The record is from RNAcentral.